Molecule: ribosomal RNA, 388 nt
Filed under: uncultured bacterium
Lineage: Bacteria
Description: bacterial SSU rRNA
Rfam family: Bacterial small subunit ribosomal RNA
Source: RNAcentral
GACGAACGCUGGCGGCGUGCUUAACACAUGCAAGUCGAGCGGUAAGGCCCUUUCGGGGGUACACGAGCGGCGAACGGGUGAGUAACACGUGGGUGACCUGCCCUUAGCUCUGGGAUAAGCCUGGGAAACUGGGUCUAAUACCGGAUAUGACUCCAUGACGCAUGUUGUGGGGUGGAAAGCCUUGUGCGGCUAGGGAUGGGCCCNCGGCCUAUCAGCUUGUUGGUGGGGUGAUGGCCACCAAGGCGACGACGGGUAGCCGGCCUGAGAGGGCGACCGGCCACACUGGGACUGAGACACGGCCCAGGACUCCUACGGGAGGCAGCAGUGGGGAAUCUUGCGCAAUGGGCGAAAGCCUGACGCAGCGACGCCGCGUGGGGAUGACGACCUC